AUAUAGAGUAGCGCGUCUUCUGAAUUGCACUUGUUUAAUAAAGAAACAAUCUUCAUUGAUGCUCCUUCACUAUUUUACUUUUAUCUCCUUCAAUUUGUGAUAAUACACGAGGAACCUAAUCAAAAUAUUAUUCAGAUAUUCGUAAACGUUGGACCGCAAUGAGAAUUUUUAAAGAAUUCUCAGUCAAGAUGCACAGGACGAUUGGUGAAGUUGAGCUACUUCGACGAACACAAAAACAGAUGAGGCUUGUAGAGAAAAACCAAAAGUGCCGGUUUCGCUGCUGAAACGUGAAUGUGUUCAGGGCGUGGAGUCAUGCGCUUUAAAAGAAGUCAGGGUCUCCCCUUCCAACCCCGUCUAACAUGGGGAGGAAUUCGCAAACAAGAACUUUCGAGCAAUUGUACAGUCGUGUGGGCCGUUCAAUUAGAUCACGUGUGAGACUGCGUCCUUUAGAUUGUUUCAAUCAUAAUCAUUGGGGAGUCGGUGCUUCUAGAACUUUUGCAAUUGAAGAAUAAAAAACAUCAGAAUGCUCUCGUGGAGAAAAUAUUAUACCACUGAUUAUGUACUGUAAUCAGUAUAAAAAAAAACCAUUGUUUCAAGUAAUUCUAUUAUAUGCUUCUAAUUCAUGUUGUAUGUUCUAUAACAAAGUAUUUUACAUUUAGAUUUAGUAAAUAUAUCAGAUACAUUGUUACGUAUUUAUAUUACAUCUAUUAAAAUGUUGUUCUAC
Cephus cinctus (wheat stem sawfly) is the source of this 724-nucleotide long non-coding RNA. RefSeq lists it as uncharacterized. Lineage: Eukaryota; Metazoa; Arthropoda; Insecta; Hymenoptera; Cephidae. The transcript is spliced from 3 exons. The record is from RefSeq and is a predicted model, not a curated record.